AGAAGAAGAAACGUGAUUUGGUUUUGGGAAGGGUAUUGAAGUAAUACAUCAGGGUUGUAGGGGAAUAUAUUAUUUCUCUUUCUUUGUUGGGAAUAAAAUUCGACCUAAUCCUUAAAGCUAUCAGAAAUGAAAUUGAAUAGUAGGAGUAAGGAUGCCUUUGAAGGUGUUUGAGCAAAAAUAAUUCACUGCAUGUUUGAGCAAAUCAAAACACACCCUUUUUACAUUCCAGUGGCAUUUCUCCAAAAACAUGGAUUCCCUAUCUUCUUCUUUCAAUGCCAAAGUGGCACUCACCGUUCAAAAUUUUCAGGGGUUAAGUGCUGUAGAAAUGGAGAGAGUUUUAUGAGAUAGUCUUCCGUUGAGGCUCUUUUCAGAGCUUGGGUUUCUUCUGAAGCAAUUUGUGUUGAUCCCAGGGGUAAAUCUAUUUACUUUUGGGAAUACCCAUUAGUUUGGAUUGCCCAAAAUUGGAGUCUAAAUACAAGCGCAUAUUUGUUGAUGUUGGACUUGGAUUUCAUGUGGAAUUCACUUGGUCGGAAGCUGUGAAUUAAAAAUUAGCAAAGGAGGACAAAUUAUGCAGUUGAAGGUUAAUGACUGGAGGCUGCAUUUCACUGAGAUUGAAUUCAUAAAUUCGCCACAGUGCUUCUGGCGCAGACACCCAACGUGCAUCUUGAAAGGUCUAUGGCCUUACAGGAAGAUAGUGGAUAAAGCAAGUGGGUUCUACUCUACAGACUACCCCACAAUUUGACUACAUACUGGGAUGAAGAAUCAGAACUAAAGUACUCGUGAAUCCGAAAUAUAUUGAACUGCAAUGAUCUGUAAGUUGAAAAAGCAAAGAACAAGAAUGGAACUUAAAAACACUCCAGCAACACCCACAUACACAGAGUGAUCAUCAUAGAUCACAUCACUUCGGCUGAUAUAAUUAACUAAGCUAUAGGUGAUCUAAUAUGUCUGUGUAUAUGUACCGCAGCCUUCAUCUUUCUUCUAUUUUCCUCAUUUUGCCUAUCACUAAUAAACUUUUAUUUCUCACCUAGGACUCAUCAUCCUGCCAAAAGACUGUUGUGGCUAUGAAAUUAAGUGUUUAUUUCAUUACUUUUUUUUUUCAUUUUUUGGCAUCAUUACUUGUUGAGAUUAUUUUGACAGUUGGACAUGGGAACACAGCUAUACAGGAGGUCAUCUUUCUGCACCUUGUAGAUUCGCUGUUAGAAACAUAGUUUCUCUUGAAGUAUAAUUGCCCACAUUUGAUUUGUGAUUUCUACAAAGAUGUCUCUCUUCAUAUUUCAAAUAUAAGUCGUGCCAAUGUGACUAAAAUAUUCCAGCUUAUUCUUUUCUAUUAGAUCAUAUUGGCCAGAGAUGAGUAUAUAUGAAGUAACCAAACCUUACUAUUAAUCCCAAUGUCUCAAUUUGUUUCCUGUCAAUCUUUUCUUUUGUUUCAACUCUAUUUUUCAUGCUACUAUUUCUAUAUGUAUUUUCCGCUAACUUCAGAAUACUUGUGGAACCAGACGACAGAUACCGUGGGAAGUAUGAUGCUGAUCAGUCCCAUCACCCAUCAUAUCUUGGUAAACACCAGCCACCACAUGAAUCAAGAAAUAGCCACUGCCUCAACUUUUGGAAAAAUUCAUGCUAUUUACUACUCUUAUUAUGUAAG
This is a long non-coding RNA of Lycium barbarum (goji berry), 1642 nucleotides long. RefSeq lists it as uncharacterized. The record is from RefSeq and is a predicted model, not a curated record. The transcript has 4 exons. Lineage: Eukaryota; Viridiplantae; Streptophyta; Magnoliopsida; Solanales; Solanaceae.